GUUCUCGCCCCUAAUUGAGCGACAGAUUCCUAAUCUGUAGGCCACUGGUUCGAGUCCAGUCGGGAUCA
RNAcentral lists this transfer RNA (68 nucleotides) under Rhizobium sp. PP-CC-2G-626. RNAcentral describes it as "tRNA-Arg". It matches the Rfam family "tRNA", at positions 18 to 71 of the family's 71-position model. Rfam says of the family: Transfer RNA (tRNA) molecules are approximately 80 nucleotides in length. Their secondary structure includes four short double-helical elements and three loops (D, anti-codon, and T loops). The record is from RNAcentral. Lineage: Bacteria; Pseudomonadati; Pseudomonadota; Alphaproteobacteria; Hyphomicrobiales; Rhizobiaceae.